RNAcentral lists this ribosomal RNA (219 nucleotides) under uncultured bacterium. RNAcentral describes it as "partial 16S ribosomal RNA". It matches the Rfam family "Bacterial small subunit ribosomal RNA", at positions 524 to 745 of the family's 1533-position model. The record is from RNAcentral.
UACAGAGGGGCAAGCGUUGUUCGGAAUUACUGGGCGUAAAGGGCGCGUAGGCGCCUUCUAAGUCGAACGUGAAAUCCCCGGGCUCAACCCGGGAACUGCGUCCGAUACUGGAAGGCUUGAAUCCGGGAGAGGGAUGUGGAAUUCCAGGUGUAGCGGUGAAAUGCGUAGAUAUCUGGAGGAACACCGGUGGCGAAGGCGACAUCCUGGACCGGUAUGACG